GAAAUGCGAUAAGUAAUGUGAAUUGCAGAAUUCAGUGAAUCAUCGAAUCUUUGAACGCACCUUGCGCCCUUUGGUAUUCCGAAGGGCAUGCCUGUUUGAGUGUCAUUAAAUUAUCAACCUUGCUCGCUUUUACCGGCUUGAGUUAGGCUUGGAUGUGAGGGUCUUUGCUGGCUUCCUUCAGUGGAUGGUCUGCUCCCUUUAAAUGCAUUAGUGGGAUCUCUUGUGGACCGUCACUUGGUGUGAUAAUUAUCUAUGCCAUCUUGACUUUGAAGCAAACUAAUGGGAACCUGCUCAUAACCGUCCUUUCAGGACAACUCUUGACAUUUUGACCUCAAAUCAGGUAGGACUACCCGCUGAACUUAA
This 363-nucleotide unclassified non-coding RNA is filed under the name uncultured Mycena. Its description in RNAcentral is "sequence contains ITS1". The stretch from base 1 to 105 matches the Rfam family "5.8S ribosomal RNA", at positions 50 to 154 of the family's 154-position model. The record is from RNAcentral. Lineage: Eukaryota; Fungi; Basidiomycota; Agaricomycetes; Agaricales; Tricholomataceae.